AAUGGCAGGUCAGCNUACUGCCGUGAAUACGUUCCCGGGCCUUGUACACACCGCCCGUCACACCAUGAGAGUUGGGAAUACCCGAAGCCUGUGAGCUAACAUUAAGAGGCAGCAGUCGAAGGUAGAAUCAAUGAUUGGGGUGAAGUCGUAACAAGGUACC
This 160-nucleotide ribosomal RNA is filed under the name uncultured bacterium. RNAcentral describes it as "partial 16S ribosomal RNA". It matches the Rfam family "Bacterial small subunit ribosomal RNA", at positions 1340 to 1500 of the family's 1533-position model. The record is from RNAcentral.